GCCGCAGUCGUACAAUGGUCAGUACACCUGCUUGCCAAGCAGGAGAUACGGGUUCGAUUCCCGCCUGUGGCUCCA
RNAcentral lists this transfer RNA (75 nucleotides) under Coriobacteriaceae bacterium. RNAcentral describes it as "tRNA-Gly". It matches the Rfam family "tRNA". Rfam says of the family: Transfer RNA (tRNA) molecules are approximately 80 nucleotides in length. Their secondary structure includes four short double-helical elements and three loops (D, anti-codon, and T loops). Lineage: Bacteria; Bacillati; Actinomycetota; Coriobacteriia; Coriobacteriales; Coriobacteriaceae. The record is from RNAcentral.